GGUGGUUCUCGGGUGACACACCCCAGAAUCAGGCUCCCUCCUCUCUGGUUCCAGGAUACGUUACCUAAGAACCGCU
Myotis lucifugus (little brown bat) is the source of this 76-nucleotide microRNA precursor. It matches the Rfam family "mir-9223 microRNA precursor family". The record is from Rfam. NCBI's taxonomy places the organism in Eukaryota, Metazoa, Chordata, Mammalia, Chiroptera, Vespertilionidae.